GUCCCCAUCGUCUAGCCUGGUCUAGGACACCGCCCUUUCACGGCGAAAACAGGGGUUCAAAUCCCCUUGGGGACG
This 75-nucleotide transfer RNA is filed under the name bacterium. RNAcentral's name for it is "tRNA-Glu". It matches the Rfam family "tRNA". Rfam says of the family: Transfer RNA (tRNA) molecules are approximately 80 nucleotides in length. Their secondary structure includes four short double-helical elements and three loops (D, anti-codon, and T loops). RNAcentral also lists the same sequence under 3 other names. The record is from RNAcentral.